Felis catus (domestic cat) is the source of this 2007-nucleotide long non-coding RNA. RefSeq lists it as uncharacterized. The record is from RefSeq and is a predicted model, not a curated record. The transcript has 3 exons. Lineage: Eukaryota; Metazoa; Chordata; Mammalia; Carnivora; Felidae.
GCUCCGCUCUCCACCAGAUGGCGCUGUUAGACUCCUGGGGUGGAGUGUUGCGGCGCUCGUAGGUGCGUAUGCGCCUGCGCGGGAAUGGUAAAAAUGGCGUCACCCAGCCACCCGGUCUGUUCUCCCGGGUCAGCAAUCGCGCACCCGUCCUCCGUCUUCAGCUCUCGUCCGCUCCCCUCUUUUUCACCAUCUGUGACCAGGCCCCCGGCAGCACCUCUCUCCCGAGUUUUGUCUCAGACGCUGCUGUUUUCCCUGGCCCCUUACUCCUGAAGGACCGCGGCCUUGACCCGCUCCGCCCCUCUGCGGGAGGGUCUCCCUGAGCAAUGGCCGAAUGUCCGCUGCACCCAGGAACACCCGCGGGACCCUGCUGCUGCCGGUGCCCCGAGACUGUGGCCGGGUGCCAGCCACCCCCCGAAAAAGUUCGCGAGACAGCGUAGCAGCAGCUUUUCAGGGAUGAUGGAAAAUCGCCACACACACCUGGCACCAGGCUUCACCCUCAACGACCUUGUUCCAGUACCAGCGAACACGGCCACCUUCCCGGGUCUGCCGGGACGGGGGGGGGGCUUCAACAGUUUCCACCAACUGUCCUUCCGGCAGUGGAACCGCUUCUCCCCGUGUGGCCCGAGAACCUCCCGGACCCCACUCGGCUCCCGGGGACUCGCCCUUCCCACCAGAGCACCGCCAGGACAUCUCGUUAGGAUUCUGACUGUUUCCUGCACAGAACUCAGGCGAACACAAAGCAGGAUGUAUUGGCAAGAUUCAAAUACUAGCAAGCAUCAAGGGGUCUGAGGUGAAACACGGGUCUGGACUUCCCCGAUGCCCAGCCAGCCCAACUUCAGCCUGGUCAUCAGGAAGGGGAAACUGAUCGCGUUCAGCAGAGGAGCGCCUACCUUCGGGUCCCGUGGGAAUGGCCAGCCUCUUACAGCCUCAAUUGCUAGAUAAUCCAAAAUGCAUACUGACUCUAGGAGGAUGAUGACAAGCACGUCCCCGUUCCCUUGGUCCAGACCCCUGAAAGUUUACGGCGAUAACAACAGCACGCCGCGGAGAGCGCUGGGUAAAAACGCGUGCACGUUACAUACUUGUGUAUAAAUGAGCAGAAGAUAAACAGCUCGUUUUCAUUGCACGUGUUUCCUCUAGGGGAUGUUUUGAAAAUGGAAAAGCCAAAGAUUUGUUUUUAGAUGAGCAAUGUCUAUAAAUAAAAUUGCAGAGGUAAAUAAAAACAAUCUGCUAAGCACUGGGCCUGAAAAAAAUGUAACAGAUCCAAGGAACAUUUUUAUGGUUCUUAAAGAAAGUUUACAUCUGAUCAUAUUUCUUCCUGAGGUUUCAUGAGUCUAUGCGGAAGAUGGAAGAGUUUAAAAACCCGAAACACUGGCCACACGGAUGAAGACAUAGGAAAGAAGGUCCUUUGCUGCCAUCUUUUGUUUCCUCAAAAAAAUUUAUAGUUUAACAUUUCCCCUUCUGGUUUCCACCGGAAAUCAGUCUUCCUUAGAAAUCAGAUGAGUGAGGACCGUAAGUUUGCCGGAAUGUCUUUGUUUUUUGAAACUAGUGCCCUGUGGUGUUCUUACUCUCAAACUCUUCUCUGGAGGGUACCCUUCGGUUCUUUAGCCUGUGAAAUUUUAUCAGUUGGCAAAAAUGGAUAGAGGGACGUUAAGAACCAAGGUAAAAAACAAUGAAAUCGGAGGCAGCAGACUUUUCUGUACAGGGCUUGGCAUUAGAUGGUCUCUAUCAGGGCUCAGCCUCAGCCUUGCUGUCGUAGCGUGUGUGUUAAUUCACUCUGCGGGGGAACCCUUCACGAUGGGCGUGGAUAUCAAAUUAUCACGUUGUGUACUUUAAAUAUCUUGCAAUUUUGUCAAUUAUGCCUCAGUAGAGCUGAGCAAAACGUUUAAAGAAAAGCAGCCAUAUGGGCACCUGGGUGGCUCUGUCGGUUAAGCAUCUAUCUGACUCUUGAUUUCAGCUUAGGUCAUGAUCUCACGGUUCGUGGGAUCGAGCUCUGCAUCGGGCUCUGCA